Molecule: small nuclear RNA, 109 nt
Filed under: Helianthus annuus (common sunflower)
Lineage: Eukaryota; Viridiplantae; Streptophyta; Magnoliopsida; Asterales; Asteraceae
Source: RNAcentral
GUCCCUCUGGUCUUCGGAGACAUUCGAUAAAAUUGGAAAAUACAUAGACGAUUAGCAUGACCUCUAACCAAGGAUGACAGUAGAAAAGAAAUAAUGGUUGGAAAGUCGG